CUCUCUCUCUCUCUCUCUCGACCUCAGCUCCUCUCUCUAUCGAUUCGUCUCUCCCGACCUUAGUCACCGACAGCGUUGGCAUCGCUUCGUCUCACUCUCUCAUCUGGUAUCAUCUCUUCUCUCAAUCUCAUGUCUCCGUUUGUCAACCUCAUCAUCUCUCUCCCUCUUUGGAGUCGACCUAACCCAGAUCGCCCCUCAGUAACCUAACCCUCUCAGAGUCUCUCUAUCUCUCUCUCUCUCUAGACUCGUCUCUAUCGAGUCUCUAUCGCGCUCGCUUUCUCUCACUCUUAGUCACCUCUGUAAAUCUCUUAGAGUCCAUCGUUCUCCCUCACCAAACCUAACCAAACAUCAUCCAAUUUCAUUGGUUUUUGGAGCGAAUCCUUGCAAAUUAUGGAGGGCUCUGGUUCAUUUUAAGUUGUUGUGCAUAGUCUGUGUGGGUUUCGAUUAAUAGGCAAAAUUGAAGAUAAUGUGAUUAAGGAGGCUCACAAAGGCAGCCAUAGGCUCAUAAAGAGUGUUUCAUUUGGAUCUUCUAAUUCAUUGAUGUAGAUACGUUCAGUUUUAAAUACAAGUUUUUUAUUCAAUUAUUGUAUCUAAUCACUAUUA
This is a non-coding RNA of Prunus avium (sweet cherry), 603 nucleotides long. The record is from RefSeq and is a predicted model, not a curated record. Lineage: Eukaryota; Viridiplantae; Streptophyta; Magnoliopsida; Rosales; Rosaceae.